This 2850-nucleotide ribosomal RNA is filed under the name Cronobacter sakazakii. RNAcentral's name for it is "partial 23S ribosomal RNA". It matches the Rfam family "Bacterial large subunit ribosomal RNA". The record is from RNAcentral. Lineage: Bacteria; Pseudomonadati; Pseudomonadota; Gammaproteobacteria; Enterobacterales; Enterobacteriaceae.
GGGUUGUGAGGUUAAGCGAACAAGCGUACACGGUGGAUGCCCUGGCAGUCAGAGGCGAUGAAGGACGUGCUAAUCUGCGAAAAGCGCCGGUAAGGUGAUAUGAACCGUUAUAACCGGCGAUGUCCGAAUGGGGAAACCCGGUGCACUUCGGUGCAUCAUCGUUAGCUGAAUACAUAGGCUAACGAGGCGAACCGGGGGAACUGAAACAUCUAAGUACCCCGAGGAAAAGAAAUCAACCGAGAUUCCCCCAGUAGCGGCGAGCGAACGGGGAACAGCCCAGAGCCUGAAUCAGCUUGUGUGUCAGUGGAACGGUCUGGAAAGGCCGGCGAUACAGGGUGACAGCCCCGUACACGAAGGCACACAGGCUGUGAGCUCGAUGAGUAGGGCGGGACACGUGAUAUCCUGUCUGAAGAUGGGGGGACCAUCCUCCAAGGCUAAAUACUCCUGACUGACCGAUAGUGAACCAGUACCGUGAGGGAAAGGCGAAAAGAACCCCGGCGAGGGGAGUGAAACAGAACCUGAAACCGUGUACGUACAAGCAGUGGGAGCCUUCGUAAGAGGGUGACUGCGUACCUUUUGUAUAAUGGGUCAGCGACUUAUAUUCUGUAGCAAGGUUAACCGUAUAGGGGAGCCGAAGGGAAACCGAGUCUUAACCGGGCGUUAAGUUGCAGGGUAUAGACCCGAAACCCGGUGAUCUAGCCAUGGGCAGGUUGAAGGUUGGGUAACACUAACUGGAGGACCGAACCGACUAAUGUUGAAAAAUUAGCGGAUGACCUGUGGCUGGGGGUGAAAGGCCAAUCAAACCGGGAGAUAGCUGGUUCUCCCCGAAAGCUAUUUAGGUAGCGCCUCGUGAACUCAUCUCCGGGGGUAGAGCACUGUUUCGGCUAGGGGGCCAUCCCGGCUUACCAACCCGAUGCAAACUGCGAAUACCGGAGAAUGUUAUCACGGGAGACACACGGCGGGUGCUAACGUCCGUCGUGAAGAGGGAAACAACCCAGACCGCCAGCUAAGGUCCCAAAGUCAUGGUUAAGUGGGAAACGAUGUGGGAAGGCCCAGACAGCCAGGAUGUUGGCUUAGAAGCAGCCAUCAUUUAAAGAAAGCGUAAUAGCUCACUGGUCGAGUCGGCCUGCGCGGAAGAUGUAACGGGGCUAAACCAUGCACCGAAGCUGCGGCAGCGACACUAUGUGUUGUUGGGUAGGGGAGCGUUCUGUAAGCCUGUGAAGGUGUGCUGUGAGGCAUGCUGGAGGUAUCAGAAGUGCGAAUGCUGACAUAAGUAACGAUAAAGCGGGUGAAAAGCCCGCUCGCCGGAAGACCAAGGGUUCCUGUCCAACGUUAAUCGGGGCAGGGUGAGUCGACCCCUAAGGCGAGGCCGAAAGGCGUAGUCGAUGGGAAACAGGUUAAUAUUCCUGUACUUGGUGUUACUGCGAAGGGGGGACGGAGAAGGCUAUGUCGGCCGGGCGACGGUUGUCCCGGUUUAAGCGUGUAGGCUGACUUUCCAGGCAAAUCCGGAAGGUUAAGGCUGAGGCGUGAUGACGAGGCACCACGGUGCUGAAGUGACAAAUGCCCUGCUUCCAGGAAAAGCCUCUAAGCAUCAGGUAACAUCAAAUCGUACCCCAAACCGACACAGGUGGUCAGGUAGAGAAUACCAAGGCGCUUGAGAGAACUCGGGUGAAGGAACUAGGCAAAAUGGUGCCGUAACUUCGGGAGAAGGCACGCUGACAUGUAGGUGAAGCCCCUGCGGGUGGAGCUGAAGUCAGUCGAAGAUACCAGCUGGCUGCAACUGUUUAUUAAAAACACAGCACUGUGCAAACACGAAAGUGGACGUAUACGGUGUGACGCCUGCCCGGUGCCGGAAGGUUAAUUGAUGGGGUUAUCGCAAGAGAAGCUCCUGAUCGAAGCCCCGGUAAACGGCGGCCGUAACUAUAACGGUCCUAAGGUAGCGAAAUUCCUUGUCGGGUAAGUUCCGACCUGCACGAAUGGCGUAAUGAUGGCCAGGCUGUCUCCACCCGAGACUCAGUGAAAUUGAACUCGCUGUGAAGAUGCAGUGUACCCGCGGCAAGACGGAAAGACCCCGUGAACCUUUACUACAGCUUGACACUGAACAUUGAGCCUUGAUGUGUAGGAUAGGUGGGAGGCUUUGAAGCGUGGACGCCAGUCUGCGUGGAGCCGACCUUGAAAUACCACCCUUUAAUGUUUGAUGUUCUAACCUGGCGCCGUGAUCCGGCGUGGGGACAGUGUCUGGUGGGUAGUUUGACUGGGGCGGUCUCCUCCCAAAGUGUAACGGAGGAGCACGAAGGUCAGCUAAUCCUGGUCGGACAUCAGGAGGUUAGUGCAAUGGCAUAAGCUGGCUUGACUGCGAGAGUGACGGCUCGAGCAGGUGCGAAAGCAGGUCAUAGUGAUCCGGUGGUUCUGUAUGGAAGGGCCAUCGCUCAACGGAUAAAAGGUACUCCGGGGAUAACAGGCUGAUACCGCCCAAGAGUUCAUAUCGACGGCGGUGUUUGGCACCUCGAUGUCGGCUCAUCACAUCCUGGGGCUGAAGUAGGUCCCAAGGGUAUGGCUGUUCGCCAUUUAAAGUGGUACGCGAGCUGGGUUUAGAACGUCGUGAGACAGUUCGGUCCCUAUCUGCCGUGGGCGCUGGAGAAUUGAGGGGGGCUGCUCCCAGUACGAGAGGACCGGAGUGGACGCAUCACUGGUGUUCGGGUUGUCAUGCCAAUGGCACUGCCCGGUAGCUAAAUGCGGAAGAGAUAAGUGCUGAAAGCAUCUAAGCACGAAACUUGCCCCGAGAUGAGUUCUCCCUGAGACUGUAAGUCUCCUGAAGGAACGUUGAAGACGACGACGUUGAUAGGCCGG